This is a long non-coding RNA of Tachyglossus aculeatus (Australian echidna), 464 nucleotides long. RefSeq lists it as uncharacterized. NCBI's taxonomy places the organism in Eukaryota, Metazoa, Chordata, Mammalia, Monotremata, Tachyglossidae. The record is from RefSeq and is a predicted model, not a curated record. The transcript has 3 exons.
AGAAGACAAGUGGCAGAGCUGGAAUUCGAACCCAGGUUCUACUGACUCCCUAGUCCAGGCUCCAUAUGCUGCUAUACAUAUUGCUAAGAUUACAACACACCACAGCUUCUACUGUGCUCUGAAAAUCUGAAUGGAGACACUGGGAAUCAUGGCAGAAAAACCACAAAAUUCUUCUGUUCAGAGCACCCAAGGCCUGAAGAUUGGAAAACAUCAUAUCCAUGUUUCUUCCUGCAAAUGCACCACCCUUCCUGCAGCCCAAGGAUCCAGGGAGAUUGGAGCAGCUUGCCUAGGGAUUGAGAUCAAGACCAAACAUUUGGACCUUUAAAAAAAUCAUUGAGCCAAAGGUAAAUGAUUCAAAUGAUCAGUUCAGAAUGUUGCCUCUGGCUACAGUGUUUUCCUUUUCCACAGAAUACUGUGGAGCAGCAAAAUAAUGUAAAACUGCGAUCCAUGUUUAAUACCUAAUU